RNAcentral lists this ribosomal RNA (257 nucleotides) under uncultured bacterium. Its description in RNAcentral is "partial 16S ribosomal RNA". It matches the Rfam family "Bacterial small subunit ribosomal RNA", at positions 96 to 354 of the family's 1533-position model. The record is from RNAcentral.
UGGCGGACGGGUGAGUAACGCGUGAGCAACCUGCCCUUCGGAGGGGGAUAGUGUCUGGAAACGGACAGUAAUACCGCAUAACGUAUUGAUACCGCAUGAUAUUGAUACCAAAACUGAGGUGCCGAAGGAUGGGCUCGCGUUGGAUUAGAUAGUUGGUGGGGUAACGGCCUACCAAGUCGACGAUCCAUAGCCGGACUGAGAGGUUGAACGCCACAUUGGGACUGAGACACGGCCCAGACUCCUACGGGAGGCAGCAG